Homo sapiens (human) is the source of this 565-nucleotide long non-coding RNA. Ensembl annotates it as CPB2 antisense RNA 1. Its record names the gene CPB2-AS1. The record is from Ensembl. Lineage: Eukaryota; Metazoa; Chordata; Mammalia; Primates; Hominidae.
GACACCACCCUUCGUGGACACGCCCUCUAGGCGUAAGGUUCCAUGCGAGCGGUAAGAGUGCGGCGGGACUUGGAAAUCGAAUCUGUGCUCUGUGAGAGAUCCUAGGAAAGGAAACUGGGAGCCCGGGAGAACUAAAAUUCCCAAUUAAAAGUGAAUUUAAAUCUGAGCUGUUCUUAGACCCAGAAUUUCUUGCCUGAAGGAGGAAUCAGGUCCCCACAAGGAAAGACCCUGCAACUGUAUAAAAAAAGAAUCUAAAAAGAUCAUGACUCCUUCAGUCCUUUCCCAAAGAGACCUAUGGAAAUUUCCUCAGGGGUUAAGCUUGCAUUGCAGUCUCAUGGCUCUCCCAGCCUCCUCCAGCCCUCUCCCCAUUUCUUGCACCCAAGCAUUUUCCUCAACACACCUCUUGCACAGCUAAUCCCAUCUUGGUGUCUGCUUCUCAGAGGAUCAUAACUGACACAAGUAGGAAGAGGAAGUCUGAUACAUGGACAGUCAAGUUGAUAGUGCAUGGGUACAAGUAAAAAAUGAAGUGGGCUGGGCACGGUGGCUCACGCUUGUAAUCCCAGCA